GACGAACGCUGGCGGCGCGCCUAACACAUGCAAGUCGAACGGAGUUAUCUCAGCUGAAGUUUUCGGAUGGACGCAGGGAUAACUUAGUGGCGAACGGGUGAGUAACACGUGAGGAACCUGCCCUGGAGUGGGGGACAACAGUUGGAAACGACUGCUAAUACCGCAUAAGCCCACAGCACCGCAUGGUGCAGAGGGAAAAGGAGCAAUUCGCUUCAGGAUGGCCUCGCGUCCAAUUAGGUAGAUGGUGAGGUAACGGCCCACCAUGCCGACGAUUGGUAGCCGGACUGAGAGGUUGAACGGCCACAUUGGGACUGAGACACGGCCCAGACUCCUACGGGAGGCAGCAGUGGGGAAUAUUGCACAAUGGGGGAAACCCUGAUGCAGCGACGCCGCGUGGAGGAAGAAGGUUUUCGGAUUGUAAACUCCUGUCUUCGGGGACGAUAAUGACGGUACCCGAGGAGGAAGCCACGGCUAACUACGUGCCAGCAGCCGCGGUAAAACGUAGGUGGCAAGCGUUGUCCGGAAUUACUGGGUGUAAAGGGAGCGCACGCGGGUUGGCCAAGUUGGAGGUGAAAGCUGGGGGCUCAACUCCCAAACUGCCCUUCCAAACUGCCGGUCUUGAGUGGGGCAGAGGCAGGCGGAAUUUCCCGGGGUACGGUGGAAUGCGUAGAUAUCGGGAGGAACACCAGUGGCGAAGGCGGCCUACUGGGCACUAACUGACGCUGAGGCUCGAAAGCAUGGGUAGCAAACAGGAUUAGAUACCCUGGUAGUCCAUGCCGUAAACGAUGAUUACUAGGUGUGGGAGGAUUGACCCCUUCCGUGCCGCAGUUAACACAAUAAGUAAUCCACCUGGGGAGUACGACCGCAAGGUUGAAACUCAAAGGAAUUGACGGGGGCCCGCACAAGCAGUGGAGUAUGUGGUUUAAUUCGAAGCAACGCGAAAAACCUUACCAGGUCUUGACAUCCGACGCAUAGCUCAGAGAUGAGUGAAGUCCUUCGGGACGUCGAGACAGGUGGUGCAUGGUUGUCGUCAGCUCGUGUCGUGAGAUGUUGGGUUAAGUCCCGCAACGAGCGCAACCCUUAUCGUCAGUUACUACGCAAGAGGACUCUGGCGAGACUGCCGUUGACAAAACGGAGGAAGGUGGGGAUGACGUCAAAUCAUCAUGCCCUUUAUGACCUGGGCUACACACGUACUACAAUGGCGCUCAACAAAGAGAAGCGAAACCGCGAGGUGGAGCAAACCUCAUAAACAGCGUCUCAGUUCAGAUUGCAGGCUGCAACUCGCCUGCAUGAAGUCGGAAUUGCUAGUAAUCGCGGAUCAGCAUGCCGCGGUGAAUACGUUCCCGGGCCUUGUACACACCGCCCGUCACACCAUGAGAGCCGGGGGGACCCGAAGUCCGUAGCCUAACCGCAAGGGGGGCGCGGCCGAAGGUA
Molecule: ribosomal RNA, 1434 nt
Filed under: uncultured organism
Description: 16S ribosomal RNA
Rfam family: Bacterial small subunit ribosomal RNA
Source: RNAcentral